RNAcentral lists this transfer RNA (65 nucleotides) under Dipodomys ordii (Ord's kangaroo rat). It matches the Rfam family "tRNA". From Rfam's summary of the family: Transfer RNA (tRNA) molecules are approximately 80 nucleotides in length. Their secondary structure includes four short double-helical elements and three loops (D, anti-codon, and T loops). Lineage: Eukaryota; Metazoa; Chordata; Mammalia; Rodentia; Heteromyidae. The record is from Rfam by way of RNAcentral.
GGUGGCUCAGUGGUAGAGUGCUUGCCUUGUAUGCCUGAGGUCCUGGGUUCGAUUCCUCAGCACCA